RNAcentral lists this transfer RNA (71 nucleotides) under Loxodonta africana (African savanna elephant). It matches the Rfam family "tRNA". From Rfam's summary of the family: Transfer RNA (tRNA) molecules are approximately 80 nucleotides in length. Lineage: Eukaryota; Metazoa; Chordata; Mammalia; Proboscidea; Elephantidae. The record is from Rfam by way of RNAcentral.
GCACUGACGAUUCAGUGGUAGAAUUCUUGCCUUACAUGCAGGGGACCUGGGUUCUAUUCCCACCCAAUGCA